GAGCCCAAGAUUGAAAGCUGGCGUCUUCGGCGUCCGCAUUGUAAUCUCAAGAAGUGUUUUCCGCUUCGGACCAAGCCUAAGUCCCCUGGAAAGGGGCAUCAUAGAGGGUGAUAAUCCCGUACAUGGCUUGGAGCGCCCGAGGCUUUGUGAUACGCUUUCUAAGAGUCGAGUUGUUUGGGAAUGCAGCUCAAAAUGGGUGGUAAAUGCCAUCUAAGGCUAAAUAUUGGGGAGAGACCGAUAGCGAACAAGUACAGUGAUGGAAAGAUGAAAAGAACUUUGAAAAGAGAGUUAAACAGUACGUGAAAUUGCCAAAAGGGAAGGGUAGGAGGUCAGAGAUGCGGCCUGGGAUUCAGCCUUGCUUUUGCUUGGUGUUUUUCCCAGAUUGCAGGCCAACGUCGGUUUUGGGCACUGGAGAAGGGUAGGAGGAACGUGGCACCCCUCGGGGUGUGUUAUAGCCUCCUACUGGAUACAGCGACCGAGACCGAGGACAGCAGCGUACUCGCAAGAGCGGGCCUUCGGGCACCUUUACGCUUAGGGCGUUGGCAUAAUGGCCCUCUACCACCCGUCUUGAAACACGGACCA
Molecule: ribosomal RNA, 582 nt
Filed under: uncultured Pseudozyma
Lineage: Eukaryota; Fungi; Basidiomycota; Ustilaginomycetes; Ustilaginales; Ustilaginaceae
Description: eukaryotic LSU rRNA
Rfam family: Eukaryotic large subunit ribosomal RNA
Source: RNAcentral